Molecule: ribosomal RNA, 497 nt
Filed under: uncultured bacterium
Lineage: Bacteria
Description: partial 16S ribosomal RNA
Rfam family: Bacterial small subunit ribosomal RNA
Source: RNAcentral
GACGAACGCUGGCGGCGUGCCUAAUACAUGCAAGUAGAACGCUGAAGAGAGGAGCUUACUCUUCUUGGAUGAGUUGCGAACGGGUGAGUAACGCGUAGGUAACCCGCCUUGUAGCGGGGGAUAACUAUUGGAAACGAUAGCUAAUACCGCAUAACAAUGGAUGACACAUGUCAUUUAUUUGAAAGGGGCAAUUGCUCCACUACAAGAUGGACCUGCGUUGUAUUAGCUAGUAGGUGAGGUAAUGGCUCACCUAGGCGACGAUACAUAGCCGACCUGAGAGGGUGAUCGGCCGCCCUGGGACUGAGACACGGCAAAGACGCCUACGGGAGGCAGCAGUAGGGAAUCUUCGGCAAUGGGGGCAAACCUGACCGAGCAACGCCGCGGGAGUGUAGAAGGUUUUCGGAUCGUAGAGCUCUGUUGUAAGUCAAGAACGGGUGUGAGAGUGGAAAGUUCACACUGUGACGGUAGCUUAUCAGAAAGGGACGGCUAACUACGUG